UUCCGAUAGGUGGUUUUACAAGUCAGAAGUGAAAUCUCUCAGCUUAACUGGGAGACUGUCUUUUGAAACUGUAAAACUAGAGGGGCAAAGAGGAAGCUGGAACAAGCGGUGUAGUAGUGAAAUGCGUUGAUAUCGCUUGGAACACCAAUAGCGUAGGCAGGCUUCUGGGUGCCACCUGACACUGCUAGGACGAAAGCGUGGGUAGCGAAUG
RNAcentral lists this ribosomal RNA (211 nucleotides) under uncultured bacterium. RNAcentral describes it as "partial 16S ribosomal RNA". It matches the Rfam family "Bacterial small subunit ribosomal RNA", at positions 568 to 774 of the family's 1533-position model. The record is from RNAcentral.